AGAGGAAGUGCCUUUGAGAUAUCUCAACACAUGAAAAGCAGCAUUCAUAUGAGGUACUCUAGGGCAUUUGAGAAAUUGACUUAGAUGCUGUACAGCAAAAGCAUAUAUCAGGUCUGGUAUGUGUCAAAAAUAAAAGCUUACCCACCAAACUCCUAAGUUGAUCAGGAGAGGGUAAUGGGUCACCACAAUCAGCAAGAAGUUUGACAUUUGUAUCUAAAGG
RNAcentral lists this long non-coding RNA (220 nucleotides) under Nicotiana benthamiana. RNAcentral's name for it is "long non-coding RNA (NBEN_LNC022089)". Lineage: Eukaryota; Viridiplantae; Streptophyta; Magnoliopsida; Solanales; Solanaceae. The record is from RNAcentral.